GAUUGAAUGGCUGAAGUGUAAGCAGUAGAUUGUAAAUUUAUAUAUGAAGAGUAUCUUCUUUAAUCA
RNAcentral lists this transfer RNA (66 nucleotides) under Nephrotoma quadrifaria. Its description in RNAcentral is "tRNA-Tyr". It matches the Rfam family "tRNA". From Rfam's summary of the family: Transfer RNA (tRNA) molecules are approximately 80 nucleotides in length. Lineage: Eukaryota; Metazoa; Arthropoda; Insecta; Diptera; Tipulidae. The record is from RNAcentral.